This 431-nucleotide ribosomal RNA is filed under the name uncultured bacterium. Its description in RNAcentral is "partial 16S ribosomal RNA". It matches the Rfam family "Bacterial small subunit ribosomal RNA", at positions 29 to 507 of the family's 1533-position model. The record is from RNAcentral.
AACGAACGCUGGCGGCAGGCUUAACACAUGCAAGUCGAGCGCCCCGCAAGGGGAGCGGCAGCCGGGUGGGUAACGCGUGGGAACGUACCUUUUGGUUCGGAACAACUCCGGGAAACUGGAGCUAAUACCGGAUAAGCCCUAACGGGGAAAGAUUUAUCGACGAAAGAUCGGCCCGCGUCUGAUUAGCUAGUUGGUGAGGUAACGGCUCACCAAGGCGACGAUCAGUAGCUGGUCUGAGAGGAUGAUCAGCCACACUGGGACUGAGACACGGCCCAGACUCCUACGGGAGGCAGCAGUGGGGAAUAUUGGACAAUGGGCGCAAGCCUGAUCCACCCAUGCCGGGUGAGUGAUGAAGGCCUUAGGGUUGUAAAGCUCUUUUGUCCGGGAAGAUAAUGACUGUACCGGAAGAAUAAGCCCCGGCUAACUUCGUG